This 492-nucleotide ribosomal RNA is filed under the name uncultured bacterium. Its description in RNAcentral is "partial 16S ribosomal RNA". It matches the Rfam family "Bacterial small subunit ribosomal RNA", at positions 29 to 507 of the family's 1533-position model. The record is from RNAcentral.
AGUGAACGCUGGCGGUAGGCCUAACACAUGCAAGUCGAACGGCAGCACAGUAAGAGCUUGCUCUUACGGGUGGCGAGUGGCGGACGGGUGAGGAAUACAUCGGAAUCUACUUUUUCGUGGGGGAUAACGUAGGGAAACUUACGCUAAUACCGCAUACGACCUACGGGUGAAAGCAGGGGAUCUUCGGACCUUGCGCGAUUGAAUGAGCCGAUGUCGGAUUAGCUAGUUGGCGGGGUAAAGGCCCACCAAGGCGACGAUCCGUAGCUGGUCUGAGAGGAUGAUCAGCCACACUGGAACUGAGACACGGUCCAGACUACUACGGGGGGCAGCAGUGGGGAAUAUUGGACAAUGGGCGCAAGCCUGCUCCAGCUAUACCGGGUGGGUGAAGAAGGCCUUCGGGUUGUAAAGCCCUUUUGUUGGGAAAGAAAAGCAGCAGGUUAAUACCCCGCUGUUUUGACGGUACCCAAAGAAUAGGCACCGGCUAACUUCGUG